UGCGUAGGAAUCUACCUAGUAGUACGGAAUAGCCAUUAGAAAUGGUGGGUAAUACUGUAUAAUCCCCGAGGGGGAAAGAUUUAUCGCUAUUAGAUGAGCCUACGUUAGAUUAGCUAGUUGGUGAGGUAAUGGCUUACCAAGGCUAUGAUCUAUAGCUGGUCUGAGAGGACGAUCAGCCACACUGGAACUGAGAUACGGUCCAGACUCCUACGGGAGGCAGCAGUGGGGAAUAUUGGACAAUGGGCGAAAGCCUGAUCCAGCUAUGCCGCGUGAGUGAAGAAGGCCUUCGGGUUGUAAAACUCUUUCAAUAGGGAAGAUAAUGACGGUACCUAUAGAAGAAGUCCCGGCAAAACUCUGU
RNAcentral lists this ribosomal RNA (358 nucleotides) under Ehrlichia canis. RNAcentral's name for it is "bacterial SSU rRNA". It matches the Rfam family "Bacterial small subunit ribosomal RNA", at positions 114 to 506 of the family's 1533-position model. Lineage: Bacteria; Pseudomonadati; Pseudomonadota; Alphaproteobacteria; Rickettsiales; Anaplasmataceae. The record is from RNAcentral.